This is a long non-coding RNA of Strigops habroptila (Kakapo), 609 nucleotides long. RefSeq lists it as uncharacterized. The record is from RefSeq and is a predicted model, not a curated record. Lineage: Eukaryota; Metazoa; Chordata; Aves; Psittaciformes; Psittacidae. The transcript has 5 exons.
AGCUCUUCUCUCCCCUUUCGGAGGGCAGCUCUCGCCGGGGUCUCUCUCCCUCCCUCACACACAAACCCGAUCAGAUGCUUCAGGACCGGCCACUUUGCGAUGGGGAUCAACACGGGAGGGUUUGUAUUACUCCAGACCUCAGGCAGGUUAGAUGCCUGACUUGCCCCCCUCCAUCCUUCGUCCCCAGCCCAAGGACUGGAGUAUAUUACUACCGAGUUAUACUUUAACUUCUCCGCAGGGUAAAGAAUAUCCCCAGUACUCCAGGGCGGAAGACCAUCACACAAAUAACACCUCUCGGAGGCAGCAGCAAUGGCAGGAAAAAGGACUCGCUAAAGAUUGGCCCUCUCUGCAAACAGAAGCUUAAGUGGUAAGGCCAGAUUUCCCCUUUAAUCCCCACCUCCAAAUUUUCCCCAUGAGCCCGAGCUUUGGCGCAGAACCAGAGACAGUUUUGACUAGCUGCUUCCAGGGAAAAGAGAGAAAUCCAAAUGACCCAAAUGAAGGUUUCUCUACAGAGGUAUAUACUCUUCUUGCAAGUCACUUUAAAAUGGCUUUUUGCUUUCCGGUUUUAUAAAGCCCUCUUCAGAAAGCUGCAUUAAAGACAACUCAGGA